UACGUAGGGUGCAAGCGUUGUCCGGAAUUAUUGGGCGUAAAGGGCUCGUAGGCGGUUUGUCGCGUCGGGAGUGAAAACUCAGGGCUUAACCCUGAGCCUGCUUCCGAUACGGGCAGACUGGAGGUAUGCAGGGGAGAACGGAAUUCCUGGUGUAGCGGUGAAAUGCGCAGAUAUCAGGAGGAACACCGGUGGCGAAGGCGGGUCUCUGGGCAACAACUGACGCUGAGGAGCGAAAGCGUGGGGAGCGAACAGG
This 253-nucleotide ribosomal RNA is filed under the name uncultured bacterium. RNAcentral's name for it is "partial 16S ribosomal RNA". It matches the Rfam family "Bacterial small subunit ribosomal RNA", at positions 524 to 776 of the family's 1533-position model. The record is from RNAcentral.